GAUGAGAUUUCCCAUUUCUUCGGAAAGUAAGAUCCCUGAAAGAUGAUCAGGUAGAUAGGUUUGGAGUGGAAGUGUAGCGAUACAUGGAGCGGACAAAUACUAAUCGAUCGAGGACUUAACCAAAA
This 125-nucleotide ribosomal RNA is filed under the name Listeria monocytogenes. RNAcentral describes it as "partial 23S ribosomal RNA". It matches the Rfam family "Bacterial large subunit ribosomal RNA", at positions 2803 to 2925 of the family's 2925-position model. RNAcentral also lists the same sequence under 2 other names. The record is from RNAcentral. Lineage: Bacteria; Bacillati; Bacillota; Bacilli; Caryophanales; Listeriaceae.